AAAAGUAAGGACUUGGCACGUUCUAGGUUGUGCAGCAUAAGCUGGGCAACAAUGUGAGCUGCAGCCUUUGCCUGAAGGAAGCAGAAUGAAGAAGCCUUUGUGUAGACUCGCAUCAGGUCUCCCAUGCUAAGAUUGCAUUGACCUUCACGAGGUGCCUGGAGGAGCAACUGCUGGAGUUGACAGGACCCUGUGUAUGCCAGCGUCUGUGGAGGUUCAGGGCUGUGUAACAGCUCACGACAUCUGCUCCAUCAUGAUGCCAAACAUCUUCAGCAAGAAAAUGGAACAGUGGCUCAACCUGCAGCUCUGCCAGAACAGCCUCCAUCUCUCUCUCCAUCAAGGUGAGCAAGGUCUGUUUCCUACCAGAGCUCGUUCUGUAGCACAUCUACAAAAGAGUGCAGUUUUUUGUGAGUUGACCCUAUUUGUAAGACCACAAACCACCCUCACAUGCCUGACACGAUGCACCAUGUCAGCAGCGACGGGAUGGAGUUGGGAAAAGCUCUGCAGGGCACAGAUGAAAUGCUCCCUGCUCUUGGUAAGACGAGGAGUGAUAACAAUAUUAUCCGGGAACUUUCCCCUUCCGCCUACCACUGCCACCUCCUCUCUCUCAAAAACACAAACAAGACAACCUGAUUUACAUGUUCAUAGCUGGGAGUGAUUGCCAGCUUAAUGAGCACUGCUAUUUAUAUCUAAAUAAUUGCACUCCUAAACAACUGCUUGGGGGGCAUCAGGAUGGAGGGAAAGAUUCUGUGCCAUGGUUUGAAGGGAUUCAGGCAGAUGUUGUCAGAAGGAGGAAUGCACAUCUCAUCCAAACUGCAAAAACAUUUUAAUGUGUUUUAGACAAACGGAGGGAAGCUGAACAAAGAGAGGCAUUGGAGCAGUGACACCGUAUAUGCAGACUUGGCACGCUUGCCAACAUGCACCAGCCUGCACCUAUUCAUAAUAACUCCUUUUGCUAAACACUUCCUUUGACCACCUCAGGUGUGGCAGCCCUAUAUGGGACAUGGGCAGCACUCUGUGCCACCUAACCCCAUGGGUUCCCAGUGCUGUCCCCAGCCCAGUGCACAAGGCAGUCCUCGCACAGCAGCUCUCCCUGCGCUGCUUUGGCUGAAUUUCUGCUGAGUGAAUCUCUUGGCUCAGUGCAGAGCUUGCAAGGCCACUUAAAUCUCUCUGACCCUUUAAUGAAGUUUUUAAAAGGGCUUCAUAAAUCUUCAUCACUAAGAAUUGCUUAAAGCCCCGCAGGAUUCCUCCAGUGGAAUUAACCACUAAAACAAGUAGACAGGCUCAGGUAUAUUUAUCACAUUCAUCUUCAUUAUUCCAUGAGUUUUCCUUCUUUCUCCUCUUAUAAAUAAGCUACAGCCAGGAAAGGGAGCAACAACUCAGUAUCACUCAUCCAGUUGCUUGUAACCUUCCACUACAGCUGAGUGAGAUCAGUCCUCUUCUUGAGUAUGCUUUCCGUGCAGGCAGCAUCUGCAUGCCCAUCUUUUACCCUUCCAUGUUUAAACCAUCAUAUUGCUCCUCACUCAGGAAGGCACCUGAUUUUUUGUCUUUCAUAUAAAAGCAUGCCUCGGGUCACAACAUGUCAGCUCCAAAAUGGAUCGGUUACCUGCCGGCCCUUCUCUUUUUUUCCUUAGAAUUUUGGCUGACUUUGGCAAUCCUUUUUUGAGAGGAAUGCCAAUCACCUCUGAAACAACUGCCAAUUUGGUGGCUAUGUGAGGGUCACUAGGAAAACACACUGUUUUUAAAAAAUUGCCUCCGUACCAUAUCAUGGUUUCCAGAGGGAACAUGUAGAUUCUGUAUGCUCUGGGUGGGCUUUUUGAUGCUUCACCUCAGGGGAAUGAGGACAGAAAAGACAUGAAUGAGAUUCACAGGUGAACAGAUAACCCAGUGGAGGUAAAGUCAGUGAAAACAGUGGGAGUGUUCCCUCCUCAUGUGAUGCUCAUGAAGGACUGCAGGUCUUCAAGAUACAGCCCAAUCCAGCCAAUCUUGAGCCACCUUUCAGGACAAUUUCAUCACAAAAUCAUGCUUUAAUGA
Long non-coding RNA from Gallus gallus (chicken), 2031 nucleotides. The record is from Ensembl. Lineage: Eukaryota; Metazoa; Chordata; Aves; Galliformes; Phasianidae.